CUGUCACAUAGGCGGCUAUGAAAUUCAUAAACAGUUUUGUGAAGGUGAAAAUUGGCAGAUUAGUUUUCUGGUUGUAAUACAGAACCAUGAGAUCUGGGCUAAAAAACCAUCUCCUGGAUGAAUCAUUCUCACAGUGAAAGGAGGCUUCACGAAGAUGGUUUGUCUCUUCCCAGCAACUUUUUAGUAAAAAGCUUAACUGUUGACUACUGUGAUAUCAAUUGCAAGGUCAGCUGAAUUUGAC
Molecule: long non-coding RNA, 241 nt
Filed under: Coturnix japonica (Japanese quail)
Lineage: Eukaryota; Metazoa; Chordata; Aves; Galliformes; Phasianidae
Description: lncRNA (ENSCJPG00005002253.1)
Source: RNAcentral